Molecule: small RNA, 30 nt
Filed under: Bombyx mori (domestic silkworm)
Lineage: Eukaryota; Metazoa; Arthropoda; Insecta; Lepidoptera; Bombycidae
Description: ovarian small RNA-29003
Source: RNAcentral
UCGGGGCCGGUUUUGCGGCGUUGACGCCCC